This 390-nucleotide ribosomal RNA is filed under the name uncultured bacterium. RNAcentral's name for it is "bacterial SSU rRNA". It matches the Rfam family "Bacterial small subunit ribosomal RNA", at positions 28 to 415 of the family's 1533-position model. The record is from RNAcentral.
GACGAACGCUGACGGCGUGCUUAAUACAUGCAAGUCAACUGAACUUAAGAUAGCAAUAUUUUAAGGGAGGUGGCGCACGGGUGAGUAACACGUAGGUAAUCUGCCUUUAGGACUGACAUAACCCAGAGAAAUCUGGGCUAAUAUCAGAUGAUGCAGCGGCUCGACAUCGAGACAGUUGUUAAACCUUCGGGGCCUAGAGAUGAGCCUGCGUCUGAUUAGGUAGUUGGCGGGGUAAUGGCCCACCAAGCCAUCGAUCAGUAGCUGGUCUGAGAGGAUGAUCAGCCACACUGGAACUGAGACACGGCCCAGACUCCUACGGGAGGCAGCAGUGGGGAAUUUUGGACAAUGGGGGCAACCCUGAUCCAGCCAUUCCGCGUGAGUGAAGAAGGC